UACGUAGGGUGCAAGCGUUAAUCGGAAUUACUGGGCGUAAAGCGUGCGCAGGCGGUUUUGUAAGUCUGUUGUGAAAUCCCCGGGCUCAACCUGGGAAUGGCAAUGGAGACUGCAAGGCUAGAGUUUGGCAGAGGGGGGUAGAAUUCCACGUGUAGCAGUGAAAUGCGUAGAUAUGUGGAGGAACACCGAUGGCGAAGGCAGGUCUCUGGGCUGACACUGACGCUCAUGCACGAAAGCGUGGGGAGCAAACAGG
RNAcentral lists this ribosomal RNA (253 nucleotides) under uncultured bacterium. Its description in RNAcentral is "partial 16S ribosomal RNA". It matches the Rfam family "Bacterial small subunit ribosomal RNA", at positions 524 to 776 of the family's 1533-position model. The record is from RNAcentral.